This 718-nucleotide ribosomal RNA is filed under the name Streptomyces sp. Its description in RNAcentral is "bacterial SSU rRNA". It matches the Rfam family "Bacterial small subunit ribosomal RNA", at positions 73 to 805 of the family's 1533-position model. Lineage: Bacteria; Bacillati; Actinomycetota; Actinomycetes; Kitasatosporales; Streptomycetaceae. The record is from RNAcentral.
ACCUCCUUCGGGAGGGGAUUAGUGGCGAACGGGUGAGUAACACGUGGGCAAUCUGCCCUGCACUCUGGGACAAGCCCUGGAAACGGGGUCUAAUACCGGAUACUGAUCAUCUUGGGCAUCCUGGAUGAUCGAAAGCUCCGGCGGUGCAGGAUGAGCCCGCGGCCUAUCAGCUUGUUGGUGAGGUAACGGCUCACCAAGGCGACGACGGGUAGCCGGCCUGAGAGGGCGACCGGCCACACUGGGACUGAGACACGGCCCAGACUCCUACGGGAGGCAGCAGUGGGGAAUAUUGCACAAUGGGCGCAAGCCUGAUGCAGCGACGCCGCGUGAGGGAUGACGGCCUUCGGGUUGUAAACCUCUUUCAGCAGGGAAGAAGCGCAAGUGACGGUACCUGCAGAAGAAGCGCCGGCUAACUACGUGCCAGCAGCCGCGGUAAUACGUAGGGCGCGAGCGUUGUCCGGAAUUAUUGGGCGUAAAGAGCUCGUAGGCGGCUUGUCGCGUCGGUUGUGAAAGCCCGGGGCUUAACCCCGGGUCUGCAGUCGAUACGGGCAGGCUAGAGUUCGGUAGGGGAGAUCGGAAUUCCUGGUGUAGCGGUGAAAUGCGCAGAUAUCAGGAGGAACACCGGUGGCGAAGGCGGAUCUCUGGGCCGAUACUGACGCUGAGGAGCGAAAGCGUGGGGAGCGAACAGGAUUAGAUACCCUGGUAGUCCACGCCGUAA